CACGCAUGACACACUGCAUAUCAAUAAGCGGAGGAAAAGAAACUAACAAGGAUUCCCUUAGUAACGGCGAGUGAAGCGGGAAGAGCUCAAAUUUGAAAUCUUCAAGGUUCUACCUUGACGAAUUGUAGUUUAUAGAAGUGUUUUCUGUUAGUAGAGUGGCAAAAGUUCUUUGGAAUAGGACAUCAUAGAGGGUGAGAAUCCCGUAUUUGGUCAUUCCUCCUAGCGUUGUGAUACACUUUCAACGAGUCGGAUUGUUUGGGAAUGCAGUCCAAAAUGGGUGGUAAAUUUCAUCUAAAGCUAAAUAUUGGCGAGAGACCGAUAGCGAACAAGUACCGUGAGGGAAAGAUGAAAAGAACUUUGAAAAGAGAGUUAAACAGUACGUGAAAUUGUCAAAAGGGAAGCGUUUGACACCAGUGUUGUUUUUCCGAAAAUCAAUUACGAAUGUUUUAUUUUUGUAGGAGUUAUGACUUCAUCGGCUUGCUCCUUUCUUUAUGAAACUUUCUUAAUGCACUUUUCGGUUAACAAGUCAACAUCAAUUUCUUUUGUUGUAAAAGGGUAUGAGGAAGGUGGCUUUCUUUUCGGAGAAAGUGUUUAUAGCCUUGUGCCUCUGCAAUCGGAGAGAUUGAGGUCUGCAGCGUAGAUCCUUCGGGGUUAGAUACGUUUGUGCUAAGUUAUAGCUUUUCAUAGACAACUUGUUGACUAUGUUUAGUCUUGUAGCUUACUCGCUGACGCUAUUUUACCUACGCUUAGGAUGUUGACGCAUGAGAUAUACGC
This 774-nucleotide ribosomal RNA is filed under the name uncultured Neocallimastigales. RNAcentral's name for it is "partial large subunit ribosomal RNA". It matches the Rfam family "Eukaryotic large subunit ribosomal RNA", at positions 24 to 647 of the family's 3401-position model. The record is from RNAcentral. Lineage: Eukaryota; Fungi; Neocallimastigomycota; Neocallimastigomycetes; Neocallimastigales.